GGAAACGGAGAAAGACUACAAGCUGCAUAGAACAGGUCAACAGCCAGGUUCAUUUUUGUCAAUACUGUAAAUAAAACUUCAUGCUACAAUUUCCCAGUGGAUCUCAAUAUGAUUGACAAACUGCACUAGUAUUGGGUCAGCAAAUGUGAGGUUAGACAUGGGUGUUUCCUAGUUUAGCUGGUAAAAUCUCAUGUUAUCUAGUUUGAGGACUUGGGGAUUGAAUCCCUAAUGAGGGUUUUCGAGGGAAAGGACUACUUCCAUUGUAAUUGUCCAUCAAUUGGAUCACUAACAUUGAAAUUAUAAAGUGACAGUAUAGCCACAUGAUAUCAGAUGACGUAAAAUUGGCAGUAAAGAGGGAAG
This 360-nucleotide unclassified non-coding RNA is filed under the name Hevea brasiliensis (rubber tree). Lineage: Eukaryota; Viridiplantae; Streptophyta; Magnoliopsida; Malpighiales; Euphorbiaceae. The record is from RNAcentral.